This 3325-nucleotide long non-coding RNA is filed under the name Triticum aestivum (bread wheat). Its description in RNAcentral is "long non-coding RNA (TAES_LNC021316)". The record is from RNAcentral. Lineage: Eukaryota; Viridiplantae; Streptophyta; Magnoliopsida; Poales; Poaceae.
CAGAGAGUGGAUGUUUCAGAAUGGUGCGGACAGGUUGAGCAGCAAUAGAUGUUUUUUAAGUCCUAGGUGAGCACUCCAGGUUCUGUGAAUUUUCCCUUCAUAGUACUGCAGUAUUUUCAUACUUCAAGGAAAUAGAAAUAAUAUGGUUUCUCUCUCCCGGUUUGUUACUACCGAGAAUGGAACUCGAGAAGAGGUACUUUUGGUGUUGUCCUAUUACCUCCCGUAUCUAAUAGAUGACACAAAGUUAUCAGUUUAGUUGGCAAGAGCAAAAGUCCACAUCAAUUGUGAGGAUAUGAUGAUUGGCAUACUUACCCCCUGAUGAUGCCUCACUUCUUCAGAAUUUGAGGCUGUUCUUGAUAUGUCAGGUAGGUCCAGCUAUCGAGUCAAUAACUAUAUUUGGUAGUGUGUGAUGAUACAUUAAUAAUCACACUUGAAUAUGUUACCUAAACCUGUUUUGCUUUUGUAUUUCUUCCAUGUUCAUCCUUCCUUUGCCUCCUCAAAUUCUUCUUUGGCCUUAGUCCUUAUAUUUCUGUCCUCUGCAGGUUUUGUGCUGUUUGCCUCUCGGGUAGGUCCCUGCAUGAAUCUUACCUUCGGCAGUGAGCUGAGAAAAUUAGCCCCACCUUUUUUUGCUGCCCUACUAUUCGAUGAAAUGCUUGUGCCCUGAUGGAUUCCGUUCUUUUUUUGUUGGUGUUCCUUCUCAUCCUGCCUGCUUUGCAAGUCUUUGUUUCACCUAUUGUCUCGGUUCAAUUGAUUGUCCAUGCCUUGGCACGUUCUGUGUAUGAUGUAAAUUCGGAACAAUGGAUUUGGUUUUCCGAACCAUAAAACUUAUGUAGCUUGAAUUAGCAGAUUGCACCAUGAAAAGACAUACUUUCCUUUAAAAAAUAAUGUGUAUCAGUACCUCUUUAGACCCUGCUGCUUGCGAUCUGAACCAGUAUAUACUUUUCUACAGUUUAGAUGUUAUAUCAGUUUGCAGAUGAAUUCGUGGCUAAUACCAGCAUUGUGAAUUUUUCAUGUUUGUCUUCCUUUAAACCACCAUAAAACUUAUCUAGCUUGAAUUAGCAGAUUGCACCAUGAAAAGACAUAUUGUCCUUUAAAAAUAAUGUGUAUUAGUACCUCUUUAGACCCUGCUGCUUGCGAUCUGAACCAGUAUAUACUUUUCUACAGUUUAGAUGUUAUAUCAGUUUGCAGAUGAAUUCGUGGCUAAUACCAGCAUUGUGAAUUUUUCAUGUUUGUCUUCCUUUAAACCUGAUGCAUGCAUGUGCAUGAUGCUCGUUGAUGACUAUUCCAUUUGUUUUACUGACCAAUUUUUGAGAGGGAGGGUGGAGGGAGUUGGCUCUUGUGUUUGUUGAUUGCUUUGCAGAUUUAUUGGUGUUUGGUUCAGAUAGAACAGCUCCAUUUGCAUUAGCAACUGUUUGUGGAGUCCCUCGCUGCUACAGGUAUGUUUGCUCUAUAGAAUCUAUAAUAUGCAUUAUGUGCUACUGCUUUUUUUAAUUAAACCAUGAAAAAUUUAUGAUAUAGAAGAGAUUAUAAGGGGCGUCUCACGAGCACAUGAUAGCGAGAGAAUUACUCUCUGACAAUGCCUUAAUUACAGAAUGGGGUGAAGAAUGCAAGGAAGUUGCCCAUUGUCUCUCGUCACCCGACCAAGGAUAGGUGAGCGGCCAUGGAUUUUUUUUCACUCCUCCGCUCAGUGCUUGCCUCAAUCAUGUUAAUCCAUAGCGAUUUACUUUGUUCGUUCCAGGUUUGACUGACAGAGGAAGUCAAUUGAGGAGUAUGUUGACACCAGAGUCCAAGACCAUGGGUGAAGCAUUUUAAUCAAUCUGUUGUUUUGGUAAGUUUCUUGCGUUCUUAGGAUUUAAAAUAACUGCAAGGAUUGUAGAGUUCUAAUGGUUGUGUUGGGUGUUUGCGGUGGCGAGGCUGAGCAGAUCAAACUGUACGCAUGGACCGUGACUAAUGGUGUGCCAGUGUGGUGGUGCCUGCCACACACUCACACAGGUUCUUGGUACUCUCUGUAACCUGUAGAUGAUGGGCGGCGAAUCCGGCAACCACAGAUCCAUUCUCCUGCAUAAUUUUCGUUUUUUCAUUUGAUUUGGUACAAGGCCUACUCAGAAUGGGUUCCCUGAUCUCAAAAUUGUCAGUUUUCUUGCCUUUAGUUUAUAGGUACCUUAACAAAUACAUGUAUUACCAUAUUGGCAGUCAGCACCAUGCGUCAUUCAUUCUUCAUGAUCUCAUAUUUGAGGUUAGCAGUUCGAAGUAAUGUAAGAGCUUGCAUGUUUAUAGUUCUAACUAACUUUUAGUUUAGCGUAGGAUAAGUCUUCCAUGAAUUCUUAGUUAGUUGUUUAUUUUUGCUGGCUGUGCAUGACACUGCAAUUUUUUCAUAAUUUCUUUAAAAGUUAACUAUUUUCUUAUCUACAAUUAACUGGUUGUUCCUCCUAGCCGUUAGCAAGUCUGUCGUCCCUGACCACCCUGUCAGCCAUCUAUACAACUGUGGUUCAUGCCUACGUGCUAUCCGCUCCUAAAUUCUCACACCAUGUCAGGUGUUUAGAAGUGAUGAUCAUUGUGGUCUUUAGUUGUCAUGGCUGUAAUCCUAGCGCAUGGGCUUUUGCGGGCUGGUCCAACCGGAGUUGGUUGAUGGCAGGGGCUCCGCUCCAGCUACCGUAUGGCUGAAGAAGGGAUGCAAAUGGCAAGAAUUUUGAGAUGCAUAAACUCCCAUCUUUGAAUCAGAAACAGAAAAUUGUUAGUUUUCUCUUUUCUUAGUUAUGCUACCCUGCUCCACGUAGGUUUUACAGUGAAAAGCUGAAAAAGUUGUGACGGCGAUGAAAGGACUGAAAGAUUUGCUCGAAGCAAAGACAUCUAGCCGAGAUACAUAUGGCAAGAAUCUUCAGAGAUUGACUUCUUUUCAGCUGCUAUUGAGAUAUAUACUUGCUCAUAGGUCACAACUCAAGUUACUAACUUACCUGCACAUACAGUAGUGAUAAGUCGACAUAAUUUUUCUGAGAACCUAUUUUUUUAAUAUGACAGCAUUCUACCUGCCCUGUGUUCUCUUUUAUGAUAUUUUUUGCUCUUCAUGCAUUUUGUAGCAACGAAGAGGAGGGAUCUUAUGUAUAAUAUGCGACAUCCAUGGUGCUGAAGGUGUGCUAUUAAGUCUCAGUUACUCCUGCAAAAUAGCAUCUUAAUAAACAAAGGAUAUGCACCGCCAAGCAGUUUGUUGUGUAUUUUUUUCCCUUCCAACCUUAUUGAUAUGCCUGUUGCUCAAGGUGUUUUUACUUGUUUACCUGAUUAACAAAUGAAUAUAAAUUUAAAACACAGGUUAAUAAAUUUAGCGCAG